UUCCUCAUCCACUUCAUUUUGAGUCAGUUCCUCAUCCAUUAUACUAGGAGUUGGUUUCUCAUCCAUUGCAGUAUGAGAUGGUUCGUCAUUCAUUGCAUUAGCAGUUGGUUGCUCAACAGGUUCCUCAUCCUCUACAGUAUGAGUCGGUUCCUCAUCUGCCACAUUCUCAGUUGGUUGCUCAACAGGUUCCUCAUCCUCUAGAGUAUGAGCUGGUUCCUCAUCCUCUAGAGUAUGAGCUGGUUCCUCAACCGCUGCAUUCUCAGUCGGUUUCUCAUCUACAGCAUUAUGAGUUGGCUCCUCAACAGUUUC
Molecule: long non-coding RNA, 309 nt
Filed under: Ricinus communis (castor bean)
Lineage: Eukaryota; Viridiplantae; Streptophyta; Magnoliopsida; Malpighiales; Euphorbiaceae
Description: long non-coding RNA (RCOM_LNC003038)
Source: RNAcentral